GUUAUAUGGUCAAGUGAAGAAGCGCAUACGGUGGAUGCCUUGGCAGUCAGAGGCGAUGAAAGACGUGGUAGCCUGCGAAAAGCUUCGGGGAGUCGGCAAACAGACUUUGAUCCGGAGAUCUCUGAAUGGGGGAACCCACCUAGGAUAACCUAGGUAUCUUGUACUGAAUCCAUAGGUGCAAGAGGCGAACCAGGGGAACUGAAACAUCUAAGUACCCUGAGGAAAAGAAAUCAACCGAGAUUCCCUUAGUAGUGGCGAGCGAACGGGGAUUAGCCCUUAAGCUUCAUUGAUUUUAGCGGAACGCUCUGGAAAGUGCGGCCAUAGUGGGUGAUAGCCCCGUACGCGAAAGGAUCUUUGAAGUGAAAUCGAGUAGGACGGAGCACGAGAAACUUUGUCUGAACAUGGGGGGACCAUCCUCCAAGGCUAAAUACUACUGACUGACCGAUAGUGAACCAGUACCGUGAGGGAAAGGCGAAAAGAACCCCGGAGAGGGGAGUGAAAUAGAACCUGAAACCGUAUGCGUACAAGCAGUGGGAGCCUACUUGUUAGGUGACUGCGUACCUUUUGUAUAAUGGGUCAGCGACUUAUAUUCAGUGGCAAGCUUAACCGUAUAGGGUAGGCGUAGCGAAAGCGAGUCUUAAUAGGGCGUUUAGUCGCUGGGUAUAGACCCGAAACCGGGCGAUCUAUCCAUGAGCAGGUUGAAGGUUAGGUAACACUGACUGGAGGACCGAACCCACUCCCGUUGAAAAGGUAGGGGAUGACUUGUGGAUCGGAGUGAAAGGCUAAUCAAGCUCGGAGAUAGCUGGUUCUCCUCGAAAGCUAUUUAGGUAGCGCCUCAUGUAUCACUCUGGGGGGUAGAGCACUGUUUCGGCUAGGGGGUCAUCCCGACUUACCAAACCGAUGCAAACUCCGAAUACCCAGAAGUGCCGAGCAUGGGAGACACACGGCGGGUGCUAACGUCCGUCGUGAAAAGGGAAACAACCCAGACCGCCAGCUAAGGUCCCAAAGUUGUGGUUAAGUGGUAAACGAUGUGGGAAGGCUUAGACAGCUAGGAGGUUGGCUUAGAAGCAGCCAUCCUUUAAAGAAAGCGUAAUAGCUCACUAGUCGAGUCGGCCUGCGCGGAAGAUGUAACGGGGCUCAAACCACACACCGAAGCUGCGGGUGUCACGUAAGUGACGCGGUAGAGGAGCGUUCUGUAAGCCUGUGAAGGUGAGUUGAGAAGCUUGCUGGAGGUAUCAGAAGUGCGAAUGCUGACAUGAGUAACGACAAUGGGUGUGAAAAACACCCACGCCGAAAGACCAAGGGUUCCUGCGCAACGUUAAUCGACGCAGGGUUAGUCGGUUCCUAAGGCGAGGCUGAAAAGCGUAGUCGAUGGGAAACAGGUUAAUAUUCCUGUACUUCUGGUUACUGCGAUGGAGGGACGGAGAAGGCUAGGCCAGCUUGGCGUUGGUUGUCCAAGUUUAAGGUGGUAGGCUGAAAUCUUAGGUAAAUCCGGGGUUUCAAGGCCGAGAGCUGAUGACGAGUCGUCUUUUAGAUGACGAAGUGGUUGAUGCCAUGCUUCCAAGAAAAGCUUCUAAGCUUCAGGUAACCAGGAACCGUACCCCAAACCGACACAGGUGGUCGGGUAGAGAAUACCAAGGCGCUUGAGAGAACUCGGGUGAAGGAACUAGGCAAAAUGGCACCGUAACUUCGGGAGAAGGUGCGCCGGCUAGGGUGAAGGAUUUACUCCGUAAGCUCUGGCUGGUCGAAGAUACCAGGCCGCUGCGACUGUUUAUUAAAAACACAGCACUCUGCAAACACGAAAGUGGACGUAUAGGGUGUGACGCCUGCCCGGUGCCGGAAGGUUAAUUGAUGGGGUUAGCGCAAGCGAAGCUCUUGAUCGAAGCCCCGGUAAACGGCGGCCGUAACUAUAACGGUCCUAAGGUAGCGAAAUUCCUUGUCGGGUAAGUUCCGACCUGCACGAAUGGCGUAACGAUGGCGGCGCUGUCUCCACCCGAGACUCAGUGAAAUUGAAAUCGCUGUGAAGAUGCAGUGUAUCCGCGGCUAGACGGAAAGACCCCGUGAACCUUUACUGUAGCUUUGCACUGGACUUUGAGCCUGCUUGUGUAGGAUAGGUGGGAGGCUUUGAAGCGUGGACGCCAGUUCGCGUGGAGCCAUCCUUGAAAUACCACCCUGGCAUGCUUGAGGUUCUAACUCUGGUCCG
This 2203-nucleotide ribosomal RNA is filed under the name Pseudomonas aeruginosa. RNAcentral's name for it is "bacterial LSU rRNA". It matches the Rfam family "Bacterial large subunit ribosomal RNA", at positions 1 to 2235 of the family's 2925-position model. Lineage: Bacteria; Pseudomonadati; Pseudomonadota; Gammaproteobacteria; Pseudomonadales; Pseudomonadaceae. The record is from RNAcentral.